GAAAAUUAAAACCGUACUGAGAUUCCAUCUCAGUCCAGUCAGAAUGGCAACUAUUAACAACAAAUGUUGGCGAGGAUGUGGGGAAAGGGAUACACUCAUACACUGCUGGUGGGACUGCAAAUGGGUGCAACCACUCUGGAAAACAGUAUAGACAUUCCUUAGAACACUUGGAAUGGAACCACCAUUUAACCCGGUUAUCCCCCUCCUUGGUAUAUACCCAAACGAGUUAAAAUCAGCAUACUAUAGUGACAGAGCCACAUCAAUGUUUAUAGCAGCUCAAUUCACAAUAUCUAAGCUAUGGAACCAAACUAAUUGCCCUUCAACAGAUGAAUGUAUAAAGAAAAUGUGGUACAUAUACACAAUAGAAUAUCACUCAGCCAUAAAGAAGAAUGAAAUUAUGGCACUUGUUGGUAAAUGGAUAGAAC
This 425-nucleotide long non-coding RNA is filed under the name Marmota monax (woodchuck). The record is from RNAcentral. Lineage: Eukaryota; Metazoa; Chordata; Mammalia; Rodentia; Sciuridae.